GUUUUGUUCCCUUUUUUGUUGGGCUAAUGGUGAAAACUGAUUUUUGAAUAGGCUAUAUGCGGAAAUGGGUAAAUCAAUUCAUAUAAAUGUUAAUAUUCGUAAGAACUUUCAUGUUUGCUUGCAAACAAAGGCAUUCUCUAAAUUUUACAAAGUUAAAAUGAUAUUGCAUCUAUGAAUACGGACUUGAAUCUAUUUGUCUAACUAGACGAAGGAUUUGAAUAUGUAUGUCUAGCUAAUUAGCUUGCCCUUUUAUGGGACUUGUACAUUUCAUGAUAGUCUGGAAACUUCUAUACUACUUCAACAUUUGAACUUGUCUAUUGAAACAUUAGCGUUUGAGUUUGAUAGAUUUUUAGUAUUUAACAUAUUUCUGUAAUCUGAAUAGCAAGAAGCUGAUACAGUUCAUCUAUAAUGGUAUAAUGACUCUUUGAGUGCAUUUAAUUUCACUCUUCCAUGUCCUAUUUGAUUGACUGGCUUGCUGGAAAGACUAAAUUUUUCUUUGCAUUUGCUGAGCAUGGAGUGAUUUUGUCGGAAUUUGUUGCUAGAUUAAUGAUUUCUCGUUAAACAGACAGUUAAUUUUGGAGUUUAUUUUAUUGGAAUUUGCUUUUAUAACACAUUGGUUUGACCAUUUCAUGUAGCUAGUUACCCUAGCCCUAAAUUUGAUUGUAGAUUUGGCAAGAGAAUUGUGAAAAGGUGAAAUAAGGGAUUAAAGAUCAAAUAAAGGGCUGAUUUGCACUAACUGGAAAAAUAACUUCUGGAAAAUUUCUUCUAUUGGUGUCUUUUUUGAAUUAGGGUAUUGUGGUUGUCUCUAAGGGGAAAAUCCGGUGCUAAAGACUUGAGAUCUCCAUCAAGAGUAUCAUAUCUGAAUCCUGUUGAGUUUGUGGUUAUGGGAGGGGGUGAACUGCCAUUAUUGCAUAUCUCAUUUGACAUUCUCAAUUACCAAUAUGAGUCCCACUGGUCCGUAUUUGUUAGAAUGAUGUUUGUAUUUUUACUUAAGCAUUUGUAUUCAGAUUGUAAAGAUAAAUAUGCCUUGGGAUGGUUGAAGAAACUAUUGAUGCAUGUGGCCUGUUAGGUUCAAAUUUCUUAUUUUGGCAAUAUAUAUACCUUCCUUAAUUAAUAAAAAUUUUUAAUUGUAGCAGGGGUCAUCUCAAUUUUUUGAUGCGUGCAGCAAAAUUUUUAGUGUUAAACCCAAUGGGGUCUCUCAGAAAGCUAGGCUUAAUAUCUCCAGUGCAAUAAAUAUGGCUGCCGGACAACCAGGUGAACCUGAGAAGUUAAAAUUUGACCAUCUUAUGAACAAGGCUAGAAAAAUAUGGGACAGUUCUCCUCAGCCAGUCAAGACUUUUCCCUGGAACAGAGCAUUGGAGAACUUCAUUCAACUCAUCGUUGAUCUUAUCAUUGCAGUUAUCAAAUACUUGUGUGUACCUUUAUUGGCAGUUUCCUCUCUUAGUGAGAUGUCAUAUUGUGCGCAUCAAAAGAAGCUAUUCUUUGUUCCUUUUCCUCUCCUUAUUGGCAUUGCUGUUGCUGGAGUCCUAAAAGAAACUGCCUUGGAACUGUCUCCACUUCUCAAGGAUGCAGAAGUUCCCUGGCAUCUGAUUGCCAUAGCAAUAUUUUUUACAUUGAUCAAAUUGCCGGGUCCAUAUUACCCAUACUGGGGCCGCAUAUUUAUUCCACAAGUUGCAAAUGGGGUGUUAUGGAGAACUUUAUGGUCUGCACUUUUGUGGUAUAGAAGACCCAGGAAGGGGUCAGGAGCAGCAUUACACCAAAAUUCAGUAAAUGACAGUCAGUCUGAAACAAAUAAACUCUAAUACGAGGAAACUCAACUCAAGAUGAGACAUUCUGCCUAGAAGUCUCGAAACGGGAGGCGAUUCUAAUCGCAAUAUUAAAGGUUCUGUGCAUCAAUGUUCAUGGCGGUUAAAGUGAAUGAUAAAGUGAUUGAUGACAUCUUCAUCAAUUUUUCCCCAACCAUUGUUAACAAAGGUUUUCUGAGUAUUUGGAAGAUAAUUACCAGUCUUGUUUUAAGCAAUAGUAUCCAUUCAUUUGUGGUUAGCUUUUCUUUUCACAAGUUCAGUUUGAAUUUGAACAUCCAUAAGAUGUAAUCAAUGGUUAGAUUGAUAACAUUUUAGAUAUGGUUUCUCUGUAAGUUUUUCUCUUUUUUAAACCUUUUCAGGAGAGAUUUCUCUAUAAAGUUGAAAGUAUGGUCUUGAAUCUUUAUUA
RNAcentral lists this unclassified non-coding RNA (2211 nucleotides) under Hevea brasiliensis (rubber tree). Lineage: Eukaryota; Viridiplantae; Streptophyta; Magnoliopsida; Malpighiales; Euphorbiaceae. The record is from RNAcentral.